Molecule: transfer RNA, 75 nt
Filed under: Pantoea sp. B_2
Lineage: Bacteria; Pseudomonadati; Pseudomonadota; Gammaproteobacteria; Enterobacterales; Erwiniaceae
Also listed under: 34 other names
Description: tRNA-Ile
Rfam family: tRNA
About the family: Transfer RNA (tRNA) molecules are approximately 80 nucleotides in length. Their secondary structure includes four short double-helical elements and three loops (D, anti-codon, and T loops).
Source: RNAcentral
GGCCCCUUAGCUCAGCGGUCAAAGCGUGCGACUCAUAAUUGCCCGGUUGCUGAUUCAAAUCCAGCAGGGCCACCA